Neofelis nebulosa (Clouded leopard) is the source of this 1441-nucleotide long non-coding RNA. RefSeq lists it as uncharacterized. NCBI's taxonomy places the organism in Eukaryota, Metazoa, Chordata, Mammalia, Carnivora, Felidae. The transcript is spliced from 6 exons. The record is from RefSeq and is a predicted model, not a curated record.
CGUGGGGCGGGGGGAUUCGUCGGUCGGCCUGCGGCCUCGGCAGCUUUACGUUUUCCUUUCGCCUCCCAGUCCUGCCGUUUGGCUUUGGAAGUAACAUCCAAGUUGCUGGGUUGGCCGAGGCCCAGCGCGGCGCGAGCCCACCGACCCUGGGCGGCGCCCUGUUUGGUUUCGGGUUCAUGGUGGCUAGUGCUGCCCUCACCUCCCUUGGCCCUUGGCCCUUGACCGCUCGGUGGAGCAGAGGGUUGAAGAGAGAGAACUCGUGGAAUUGGCUUGGCUCCUAACGUGGGCUCCAGCUCCAGCAAGGCAUUCCCUCUCUUGCCCGAGUCUCUUGUUCAUUCAUUCAGUUACUAAACCCCAAGGGAGGGAGCUUCCACUGAGAGGGGCCAUGUUCUCCCACCGGGACACAGCAGAUCCCUGCGCUCCAAGAGUGCAUUCUAGAAAGGUGGAAGACAGUACCAGAAAACAAACAUAGGGUGAUUUCCAGUAGCGGCCAGUGCUAUGAGGAAACAAAUUAGCCUGCUGUGCCAGAAGUGGGAAGCUUCCUUACAUUGGCUGGUCCUGGAAGGCCUCAUUGUGAGGUGACAUUUUGAGGCGGGAGUGGGGCCUCAAGAGUCCUACCCUUGAAGCCUAGAAGGAUGUCUGGUGUGCUGUAGGCUUGUGAACCAGUGAUGAGUACUGAAUGCGGAAGGGCGCAUGAACUCUCGCUCCCUUGCAGGUGAGGAAGCUUUCUGGGAAUGAAUCAGGAGAAAGGCAAAAGGCACCCAGAAGAUGAGGGCAGCUUACGGUAUCCCCAGCUUUGCGAAAGUUUACGUUAUGCCGCUUGACUUUUACGAAAGACCUACCUGUGUUUACUAACCGAAAGAAAUCUUAAAAGGCUUUCGCUUUUACGAAAACGGCAACAGCAACAACAAAAAGGCAGAAAGUGACAGCUUUCAAGUUCUUCCAGGAAAACCCCCUCUCGUGGCCACGAGUAUCGUGGCAUUCUGUAUCCGCCCCAGGCACAGUUCUGCAGACUUAAGAGCUAGACAUCCCCCUACUUAAGAAACAUGUUCCUCAACUGACUUUCAGCGGCCAGCACCCAUUUGACAGUGCAGUGCCUCUGUGUCCACAUGGUUUUUGCAAGUCUUCGCACAACUCGACAUGCUUAUCACUGCUCAGCACAUAUCCAUCCCCCACAGCCAUGGGAGCACCGUACUUCCCACUAAUGUUGGGCUGGUUCCUGUCACCUGCUUUGGCUAGUGGAAUAUGGGCGGAAGUAAAAAUGUACCAUUUCCCAGGUGAGGCCUUAAGACACAUCACGUGGUUGUGCUUCUUUGGGAGCCCUGGCCCCCACUCUGACAAGAACGUGCUCCAGACAGCCGCUGCCCCCUCCGGCCUGGGCCCCCAGAAUGAGACGGAGGGGAGCAGAGCCCUCCCACUGCCUCUGCCUCCUGACCUGUGA